CCCCAUUCAUGUCUAUGGAAUUGUUAUCAUACACCAGCCAAAAAAGUAGGAAAUAAAUAGAACAUUUUUGCUACUGGAUUCCAGUAGGUUUUCGAACUACAAGUUUAAAUGUUAACAGUAUUGCAAAUUCUUAUUAAGUCUUCUGGGAAACAUUACAUUUUCUUUGAAAAGGAGGAUAAAACAAACAAACAAAACCCCAUCCUUGGGUAAUUCAGUGCUAUAAAGCUUUUGUGCAAAGAUACGGUCAUUAAAUCUCAGAAGGAGAAUUAAAAUAAGCAUUCUAAUUUAGCCAUUCUUUCUUUUAUAAACUGAUACCCUUUUAUUGCUUUUGUGGCACUAGGGAGGAAAGCUGCCUGCCACCUGCCUUCCAAGGAACUGCCAGUUUUGCCUGCAGAAAAUAGCCCAUCUGCUAAGUUUCAUUCUUCAGCCCAGGUUACUGGUGAAGACUUUAUAUGUACAUCCUUGUUUUUAAUACUUCCAGCUGUUCAUUUUUCCCAUGAAAGGAAAUCCUUGGGUAGAAACAUAACAAUCCUGAAGACUCAAACUGAGCUGGUUGGCUGGAUGAUUGAAGGGGACAGGUAGCAUUUGCAUGUUUUCAAUCUGAGUGCCUGAUUCAAAUGCUCCACUGAAAGCCAUCGCUCCCGGUGGGCUUUGUAGCAGUCUCUGGAAAUGGAACUGGGACUUUCAGUCCACAGGAGGCAGUCAUUCAAGAAAGACGCUAUCAGUAAUACUUAUGAAAAGUUGAGCCUAAUGGUUGUCAGAUGCUGUUUUAUAACACUAGCAGAUAAAAACAGAAGCACAUGCUGCGCAGGCUUCCUGAAGGCUUGCAGUAUGGAAGAAUUUGAAAAUGGACAUGAAAGAAAAUAG
RNAcentral lists this long non-coding RNA (867 nucleotides) under Phasianus colchicus (ring-necked pheasant). RNAcentral's name for it is "lncRNA (ENSPCLG00000010848.1)". Lineage: Eukaryota; Metazoa; Chordata; Aves; Galliformes; Phasianidae. The record is from RNAcentral.